Molecule: long non-coding RNA, 497 nt
Organism: Ahaetulla prasina
Lineage: Eukaryota; Metazoa; Chordata; Lepidosauria; Squamata; Colubridae
Exons: 4
Source: RefSeq, a predicted model, not a curated record
GGGGGGAGUGCGCGCAUGUGACGUCACCGCGUGAGGUCGGCGUCUCGGCCCGAUGAUGCGUCGCUGACGCGCGACGCGUCCGCCACGGGGCCCGGACCGUCGCCCUUGUUGCUAUGGCGACCCCGCUCGCCGGGUCAAGGGGUCACGGCGCGGCCUGGGACUUUCUGAAAAGCCAACUGAAAUAAAUGGAUUGAAACAAAUAAACAAAAAUUAUCGUUCCACACUGGGAUGGAAAAAUUGCUCACCAGUUCCUGGUGAGCCAGCAGGUAACGCUUGAGCUGGUCUUCCUCUUCCUCCUCCUGCUCUUCCUCCCCAAGGAGCUCAGAAAACUUCCACCAUCUCUGGAUGUUGUGAUGGAGAACUACGAGCUGGUGACUUCUCUCGGCUAUCCAGUUCUCAAACCCGAUCUCCUGUCUCGAAUCGAACGGGUCGGAGAGCCGUGCGUGGGCGACCAGCUGGAUUCCACCCGUGGGAUUCCCACCGAUCCAUGUCCAGGU